This 324-nucleotide ribosomal RNA is filed under the name Pseudogymnoascus destructans. RNAcentral's name for it is "eukaryotic LSU rRNA". The stretch from base 1 to 115 matches the Rfam family "5.8S ribosomal RNA", at positions 40 to 154 of the family's 154-position model. Lineage: Eukaryota; Fungi; Ascomycota; Leotiomycetes; Thelebolales; Thelebolaceae. The record is from RNAcentral.
AGAACGCAGCGAAAUGCGAUAAGUAAUGUGAAUUGCAGAAUUCAGUGAAUCAUCGAAUCUUUGAACGCACAUUGCGCCCCCUGGUAUUCCGGGGGGCAUGCCUGUCCGAGCGUCAUUACAACCCUCAAGCUCAGCUUGGUAUUGGGCCCCGCCGACCCGGCGGGCCCUAAAGUCAGUGGCGGUGCCGUCCGGCUCCGAGCGUAGUAAUUCUUCUCGCUCCGGAGGUCCGGUCGUGUGCUUGCCAGCAACCCCCAAUUUUUUCAGGUUGACCUCGGAUCAGGUAGGGAUACCCGCUGAACUUAAGCAUAUCAAUAGACGGAGGAA